AAUUAAUCCACACUGAAGUAAAAGUAUUAAAAAUAUUUUUAUGGCUAUGUCGAAAAUUAAAGCCGAACUCAGAAUGUUAGCCUUGCUAACAUAUCUAAAAAUUACUGAAAUCGAUGAUGCGAGAAGGAAAAAUUAAUGAAGUAACAACUAUCUAUCUGCUACAUGAUAAACCAAAACUAAUACAUACUAUGACAUUGUUAUU
This 202-nucleotide unclassified non-coding RNA is filed under the name Bombus terrestris (buff-tailed bumblebee). RNAcentral describes it as "misc RNA ENSBTSG00005037482.1". Lineage: Eukaryota; Metazoa; Arthropoda; Insecta; Hymenoptera; Apidae. The record is from RNAcentral.